CCGGCGUAGCACAGCGGUAGUGUAGCGGUUUUGUAAACCGAAGGUCGGCGGUUCAAAUAUGCUAAAAGUCGCGGAA
Molecule: transfer RNA, 76 nt
Filed under: Micavibrio aeruginosavorus
Lineage: Bacteria; Pseudomonadati; Bdellovibrionota; Bdellovibrionia; Bdellovibrionales; Pseudobdellovibrionaceae
Description: tRNA-Thr
Source: RNAcentral